GUCGGUAAAACUCGUGCCAGCCACCGCGGUUAUACGAGUAACCCAUAUUAAUACUUUACGGCGUAAAGGGUGAUUAAAAAUUCUCAAUUCAUUCUAAAGUUAAGACUUUAAUAAAGCUGUUAUACGCACUUAUAAAUAAAAAAAAUCAUCAACGAAAGUGACUUUAACAAAUUUGAUACUUUGACCUCACGACAAUUAAAACCCAAACUGGGAUUAGAUACCCCACUAUG
Molecule: ribosomal RNA, 230 nt
Filed under: Narcine bancroftii (Caribbean electric ray)
Lineage: Eukaryota; Metazoa; Chordata; Chondrichthyes; Torpediniformes; Narcinidae
Description: partial small subunit ribosomal RNA
Source: RNAcentral